CCUACGGGAGGCAGCAGUGAGGAAUAUUGGUCAAUGGCCGCAGGGCUGAACCAGCCAAGUCGCGUGAGGGAUGACGGUCCUAUGGAUUGUAAACCUCUUUUGUCAGGGAGCAAAGGGCGCCACGUGUGGCGCUUUGCGAGUACCUGAAGAAAAAGCAUCGGCUAACUCCGUGCCAGCAGCCGCGGUAAUACGGAGGAUGCGAUCGUUAUCCGGAUUUAUUGGGGUUAAAGGGUGCGCAGGCGGAAUGUCAAGUCAGCGGUAAAAUUGCGGGGCUCAACCCCGUCGUGCCGUUGAAACUGGCGUUCUUGAGUGAGCGAGAAGUAUGCGGAAUGCGUGGUGUAGCGGUGAAAUGCAUAGAUAUCACGCAGAACUCCGAUUGCGAAGGCAGCAUACCGGCGCUCAACUGACGCUCAUGCACGAAAGCGUGGGUAUCGAACAGGAUUAGAUACCCCAGUAGUC
Molecule: ribosomal RNA, 459 nt
Filed under: uncultured bacterium
Lineage: Bacteria
Description: partial 16S ribosomal RNA
Rfam family: Bacterial small subunit ribosomal RNA
Source: RNAcentral